CCGUAGCUGGUCUGAGAGGACGACCAGCCACACUGGAACUGAGACACGGUCCAGACUCCUACGGGAGGCAGCAGUGGGGAAUUUUGGACAAUGGGGGCAACCCUGAUCCAGCCAUGCCGCGUGAGUGAAGAAGGCCUUCGGGUUGUAAAGCUCUUUCAGACGGAAAGAAACGGUUACGGCUAAUACCCGUGACUAAUGACGGUACCGUCAGAAGAAGCACCGGCUAACUACGUGCCAGCAGCCGCGGUAAUACGUAGGGUGCGAGCGUUAAUCGGAAUUACUGGGCGUAAAGCGUGCGCAGGCGGUUUUGUAAGACAGACGUGAAAUCCCCGGGCUUAACCUGGGAACUGCGUUUGUGACUGCAAGACUAGAGUACGGCAGAGGGGGGUAGAAUUCCACGUGUAGCAGUGAAAUGCGUAGAUAUGUGGAGGAAUACCGAUAGCGAAGGCAGCCCCCUGGGUCGAUACUGACGCUCAUGCACGAAAGCGUGGGGAGCAAACAGGAUUAGAUACCCUGGUAGUCCACGCCCUAAACGAUGUCAACUAGGUGUUGGGGAAGGAGACUUCUUUAGUACCGCAGCUAACGCGAUAAGUUGACCGCCUGGGGAGUACGGUCGCAAGAUUAAAACUCAAAGGAAUUGACGG
Molecule: ribosomal RNA, 644 nt
Filed under: uncultured bacterium
Lineage: Bacteria
Description: bacterial SSU rRNA
Rfam family: Bacterial small subunit ribosomal RNA
Source: RNAcentral